GACGAACGCUGGCGGCGCGCCUAACACAUGCAAGUCGAACGGAGCUGAGAGAAGCUUGCUUUUCUUAGCUUAGUGGCGAACGGGUGAGUAACGCGUGAGUAACCUGCCCUGGAGUGGGGGACAACAGUUGGAAACGACUGCUAAUACCGCAUAAGCCCACGAUCCGGCAUCGGAUUGAGGGAAAAGGAUUUAUUCGCUUCAGGAUGGACUCGCGUCCACUUAGCUAGUUGGUGAGGUAACGGCCCACCAAGGCGAGGAUUGGUAGCCGGACGGGGAGGUUGAACGGCCACAUUGGGACUGAGACACGGCCCAGACUCCUACGGGAGGGAGCAGUGGGGGAUAUUGCACAAGGGGGGAAACCCUGAUGCAGCGACGCCGCGUGGAGGAAGAAGGUGUUCGGAUUGUAAACUCCUGUCGUUAGGGACGAUAAUGACGGUACCUAACAAGAAAGCACCGGCUAACUACGUG
RNAcentral lists this ribosomal RNA (468 nucleotides) under uncultured bacterium. RNAcentral describes it as "partial 16S ribosomal RNA". It matches the Rfam family "Bacterial small subunit ribosomal RNA", at positions 28 to 507 of the family's 1533-position model. The record is from RNAcentral.